UACGUAGGGGGCGAGCGUUGUCCGGAAUGAUUGGGCGUAAAGGGCGCGUAGGCGGCUUGAUAAGUCUGAAGUGAAAGUCCUGGUUUCAAGUUGGGAAUUGCUUUGGAUACUGUUGAGCUUGAGUGCAGGAGAGGUAAGUGGAAUUCCCAGUGUAGCGGUGAAAUGCGUAGAGAUUGGGAGGAACACCAGUGGCGAAGGCGACUUACUGGACUGUAACUGACGCUGAGGCGCGAAAGUGUGGGGAGCAAAC
RNAcentral lists this ribosomal RNA (250 nucleotides) under uncultured prokaryote. RNAcentral describes it as "partial 16S ribosomal RNA". It matches the Rfam family "Bacterial small subunit ribosomal RNA", at positions 524 to 773 of the family's 1533-position model. The record is from RNAcentral.